Long non-coding RNA from Bombus pyrosoma, 298 nucleotides. RefSeq lists it as uncharacterized. Lineage: Eukaryota; Metazoa; Arthropoda; Insecta; Hymenoptera; Apidae. The record is from RefSeq and is a predicted model, not a curated record. The transcript is spliced from 3 exons.
UUUAUCCCUUGAAAUGGACAAGUUUGAUACGUUUAAAUCUUUUAUGUACCUCUUUUGAAGUACUCUCUUUAAUUAGAAAUCAUGCAAGAUGUAUGUUACUCUACUAAGAUGGUGAAAGAUCAUGAUUCGUGCAGUGGGCUGGAAAUCAUAUACGAUGGAAGCCAAGGAUAUAUAGCAGAACUUCGUCUACAUGUAUCCGUCAGCGUGAGGAACAAGCAGUUUAUACAAUUUUUCUUUCAUCAUAAGAAAUUACUAAUUCUUCUUAUGGCCUAUAUUUUUCAUUCAUAUAAGAGUUCAC